UACGGAGGGUGCAAGCGUUACUCGGAAUUACUGGGCGUAAAGCGCAUGUAGGCGGUUUAGCAAGUCCGAUGUGAAAUCCCACGACUCAAUCGUGGAAGUGCAUUGGAAACUGCUAGGCUAGAGUUAAGGAGGGGUGAGUGGAAUUCCUGGUGUAGAGGUGAAAUUCGUAGAUAUCAGGAGGAACAACGGAGGCGAAGGCGACUCACUGGACUUUUACUGACGCUGAGAUGCGAAAGCGUGGGGAGCGAACGGG
RNAcentral lists this unclassified non-coding RNA (253 nucleotides) under uncultured delta proteobacterium. Its description in RNAcentral is "contains 16S-23S intergenic spacer region". It matches the Rfam family "Bacterial small subunit ribosomal RNA", at positions 524 to 776 of the family's 1533-position model. Lineage: Bacteria; Deltaproteobacteria. The record is from RNAcentral.